CACCAGCGGGGAGGGCCGGGGCGGCGGGGGGCGCGCGGGGGCCCAUGCCGGCCUCCCGCCUCCGCCGCGCUGCGCGCCCGGGCACCGCGGCUCCGCACCGCACCGGCACCGCCGCGCUGCCGGAGGCCGCCUGUGCCUGGGAGAAGUGAAGGGGGGGAAAAAAAAAAAACACAACAAAAAAAACCCAGUAGCUUUUUUUUUUUUUUUUUAAAGUUCACGGGGAGGAAUAAAAAAAAAGGAUGAUCUCACUUUUACGGUAAGAUCAAAAAAAUCUCCACUCGCCCCCAUUCUUCGAGAUUUGGGAUAAUUCCAAAUACCUGACUAAGUGCAGAUGUUGUUGCGUCUUCACAUCUUAUAAAGCCGCCGUGCCGCUCUUUUGCUCUUGCUUUCCUUUUCAAGUUGCAGGAAAUUCAAACACUUUACAUGAAGGGUGGAGAGGUUUGGGAUUUUUUUUUUUUUGAUUAUUAUUGUUAUGAGUUGAUUAUUUUUUUUAAGCUGAUCUUUAGGAUGAAAAAAAAAAUCGCAGUCGCCUAAAGUCCCCGGGAAAUUGCUACUGUUGGGGGAAAACGAAACAUUUCUUGCAAACAAGAAAAUGAUUCCCUAGCAGAGCUCUCCCUCUCGCAGAAGUACAGCCCUGCGUGGAAGAUGCUGGCAGGUUGCAACCUCAGCAGCUGAACGGUGUCACUAAAACAAACAUUUGCGAGAAAAUCACCAGCCCUGCUGUAUGGCGAGGUUUGUCUAACAGCACUUACCUUGCCUUUCAAAGGGCGGGCCACAAGCGCUGGCGGUGGAGGGUAAUGGGCUGGUAACAGAGUACCGGGCUGGGGCUGGGGGCGGUGAAUGAAAAAAGUUAAACUUCCCGUAAACAGUAACUGGAGGAACUUUCUCAGUUCAAUUAGAAAUAAUAACUCUCGUGUGUGCGUGCGUGUGUGUGUGUGUGAAAGAGAGAGAGACAGAGGAAGCAGAUAUACGUGCACACAGACACGUGCGCUGCACUUACACACUCAACUCAGUGCCAAAACGCUCAGGAAGUUGUGGAAUAAUUUGAUUGUUAACUAUAUCCAUUUUUUUAAGGAAAAAAAAAAUCUAUUGAACUUUCUAUCAGAGGAAUUAGAGAGGGAAAUGCAGAUUCCUUCAUGUGCAUCAGCUUCUUUGGGGGUCAGAGUCUAUUUCAGAGAGCCAGAACCCGUAAUUUUAUUAAGUGUAACAUUUACGAACAUAAUGCGUAAAAUCGAUGACUGUACAGACUCCAUCUACAAAGACUCAGCACAUGAGGCUCAGCUCUAAGCUCUCUCUUCCCGGCAGUUUUAAACCAAGCUCAUUGCAUUCCCCUACGUGAAAACUCCAACAGUUUCCCAAGAAACCUCCUCUCCCGCCACCCAGGUCCGAGCGGAGACAGCGGGCUGAGCUGAUGAAAGGACCAUUGAAAUUAACUGUUAGUUACGGGAAUGGCCAGAGGAUCAGUAAGGAAGUUUAUUAAACUUGGAGCAGCUGCCUCUUAGAAACCAGCGUGUUUCGGGCUUUAACCUUUCUCUCUCCCGAGCAGCGUGUUGAUGUUUCGCCACUUGUUCAUUGCAAACAAGGAAAGGAGAAGCGUGCGUCGAGGUCCCCGUGUGCGUGUGUAGCUGCUCUCGGAGACCCGUUUGUUAGCACUGGUCCAUGGCUUUUCGGGGGGGGUCAGACCCGGUGGCGAACUGCCCCCUCCCUGGCGCUCUCCUCUCGCCCCGAGGACCAGCCCGGCUCCGCGGGGCGUCUCCGCCCCUUCCAGCGGAGCAGAGGAGCCGGCGGGCACCCAGCGGCUCCUCGCCAGCCGAGUGUCCGCGGGAAGGGCUGGGCAUCAGCGAGCUGGGGCCUUUCGAGGCGCCGGCGGUGAGGCGGCGGGUGCCCCGCCGGCCGAGGAGCGAGCUGUCGAGGGAGGAGGCGGCGCGCCCGGGGCCGGGCUGCCGGGGGCCGGGCUCCCGACCGCGGAGGGGGGGGGGGGGGGCGAGCCCCGGCAGAAGGCGCGGGGCAGGGCGGCUGGGGCGUCUCACCUGCCAGCAGUUCCUCCCAGGGCAGCCCCCCGCCAGGCACAGGCUCUGGGAGCACCACCGAGGCAUCGCCCAGGACCGGGCGCGGGGAACGCGGCAGCCCGCGGCCGUGCCGGGCACCCAAUGCCCCGCCGGGCGUCCGGGCAGCCGCCGGCUGCCACCGCUGCCUUCUGUCCCUUGGAAAAGCCUGUCCUCCCUCGGUGGCACUCCAUCGAAAUGCAAAAAGUGUGCGGAAAGUACUCCGGUUUCUCCCGGCGAAGAACAAAGAAGAAACAGUUUUCAUUAAGGCUGGACUAGAUGAAUAUGGAUCUGACAAGUUUGUUUAAAAACACCGCUGUCCACGACCGAAAACGAUACUCCACUUUUGUAAAAUACAAAGUGUUGUCAAUAACCAUUAUAACAACAAUAAUAAUCCGAGAAGAGAACAAAGACAUUUUGUAAUAUCUACAUAACUUUAUUAGAGCAAAAUUAUUUUAAAAUGCCUAUGAAUUCCCAAACCUCCUGAAUACAAAUGAAUAAAAG
Grus americana (Whooping crane) is the source of this 2549-nucleotide long non-coding RNA. RefSeq lists it as uncharacterized. The transcript is spliced from 3 exons. The record is from RefSeq and is a predicted model, not a curated record. Lineage: Eukaryota; Metazoa; Chordata; Aves; Gruiformes; Gruidae.